RNAcentral lists this ribosomal RNA (442 nucleotides) under uncultured bacterium. RNAcentral's name for it is "partial 16S ribosomal RNA". It matches the Rfam family "Bacterial small subunit ribosomal RNA", at positions 338 to 795 of the family's 1533-position model. The record is from RNAcentral.
CCUACGCGUGGCAGCAGUGGGGAAUAUUGGGCAAUGGGCGCAAGCCUGACCCAGCAACGCCGCGUGAAGCAAGAAGGCUUUCGGGUUGUAAACUUCUUUUAAGAGGGAAGAGCAGAAGACGGUACCUCUUGAAUAAGCCACGGCUAACUACGUGCCAGCAGCCGCGGUAAUACGUAGGUGGCAAGCGUUGUCCGGAUUUACUGGGUGGAAAGGGCGUGCAGCCGGGAAGACAAGUCAGAUGUGAAAUCCCGCGGCUCAACCGCGGAACUGCAUUUGAAACUGUUUUUCUUGAGUACCGGAGAGGUCAGCGGAAUUCCUUGUGUAGCGGCGAAAUGCGUAGAUAUAAGGAAGAACACCAGUGGCGAAGGCGGAUGACUGGACGGCAACUGACGGUGAGGCGCGAAAGCGUGGGGAGCAAACAGGAUUAGAUACCCCGGUAGUC